This 305-nucleotide small nuclear RNA is filed under the name Prolemur simus (greater bamboo lemur). Its description in RNAcentral is "7SK RNA (ENSPSMG00000015662.1)". It matches the Rfam family "7SK RNA". From Rfam's summary of the family: 7SK was discovered as an abundant small nuclear RNA in the mid-70s but a possible function has only recently been suggested. Lineage: Eukaryota; Metazoa; Chordata; Mammalia; Primates; Lemuridae. The record is from Rfam by way of RNAcentral.
GGAUGUGAGGGUGAUCUGGCUGCAACAUCUGUCACUCCACUGAUCAUCAGGGUUGAUUUGGCUGACCUGGCUGGCCAAGCAGGUAUCCCCUUCCUCCCUCAAUGCUCCGUGUGUGUCCCUCCCAAAGCUUCAUGCACAGUGGAAGAGGAUGACCUUCCCCGAUAGAGGAGGAAUGGUCUUUGGUCAAGGGUAUAUGAGUAGCUAAGCUCCCCUGCUAGAACCUCCAAACAACCUCUCAAAUAAUUUCUGUUUAAUAGAGAAUAUGAGAUACAUAUAUAAAUAAUUUUAGUACAAGGUUGAACAUU